AAUACUCGUUGUGAAGAGGCCCUUUUUCUCCAAGAUGAGCUUAGAUCAUGGCUACAAUUCAUGCUAUGCCUAUGGAAGGAGUAUAAACUGUCUUACUUACCCUUUCCUAUGAAGAUUUCAAUGUCAAAUGAGCAGUAGGCUUAAAGAAAGCAACAAUACAACAGAAAUUACACGUUCUAGCCCCAUAUCUUCUUUUAUCCCUUAGUAAUUCCUCAUUGUCACUAGCCAUUUCUUUCUGUUCAUUGGCAAUUUUCUGUUGGACUACAACAACAUUUUGUCGCUUAGGAUUGUAAACAUGUCAACAAUUCUUAUUAGUAUGUCCUAUCUCCUCACAAUUAUAUAACUUAGAGCUUUUAAACAUCAUAGGUUGGGAUGGUUAGGUUGGUGUAACAGUUGGUUGAAACUUGAAAGGCCAUUUCUCAUUGAGUCCAUAUAUUUGUUCGUUUUCUUAGCUUCCCUUGCAUAUGUUAUGGCUUGAUCUACAGAAGAAAACUCCUUAUCCUUUAAAUCUAUUCAGUUUCCAUGCUUAAUCCCACCAAGAUACUUUGUGAUGUAUUGUUGAAGUACCUCCUCAAAAGUCAAAUUAUACCAAGCAAUUGUAUAUCAACGUCCUUGCCAUGCUGAAUAAGGCACACAACUUGGAGUACAAUUCCCUUUCAUAACGAACGAGAAUAAACUUUUCCUCCAAGUGUCCUAGCAUGCCUAAUCAAUAAUAGGCAAUUGUCAUUGAACAUAGCAUUGCUGUGCAAGACUAUGCCAUCAUGUG
This 766-nucleotide unclassified non-coding RNA is filed under the name Hevea brasiliensis (rubber tree). Lineage: Eukaryota; Viridiplantae; Streptophyta; Magnoliopsida; Malpighiales; Euphorbiaceae. The record is from RNAcentral.